AGGACGAACGCUGGCGGCGUGCUUAACACAUGCAAGUCGAGCGGAAAGGCCCUUUCGGGGGUACUCGAGCGGCGAACGGGUGAGUAACACGUGAGUAACCUGCCCUUAGCUUUGGGAUAACCCUCGGAAACGGGGGCUAAUACCGAAUAUUCACUGAUCGCGGCAUCGUGGUUGGUGGAAAGUUUUUUCGGCUGGGGAUGGGCUCGCGGCCUAUCAGCUUGUUGGUGGGGUGAUGGCCUACCAAGGCGACGACGGGUA
Molecule: ribosomal RNA, 258 nt
Filed under: uncultured bacterium
Lineage: Bacteria
Description: partial small subunit ribosomal RNA
Rfam family: Bacterial small subunit ribosomal RNA
Source: RNAcentral